CACGAGCGCACCCCUGUCCUGUGUUGCUAACCCCUUAAAAGGUGCACUCUCAGGAGACCGCCAGCGAUAAGUUGGAGGAAGGUGGGGAUGACGUCAAGUCAUCAUGGCCUUUAUGUCCAGGGCUACACACGUGCUACAAUGGACGGUACAAAGCGCUGCGAACUCGCGAGAGGAAGCUAAUCGCAAAAAACCGUUCUCAGUUCGGAUUGCAGGCUGCAACUCGCCUGCAUGAAGCUGGAAUCGCUAGUAAUGGCAUAUCAGAACGAUGCCGUGAAUACGUUCCCGGGCCUUGCACACACCGCCCGU
RNAcentral lists this ribosomal RNA (306 nucleotides) under uncultured Acidobacteriota bacterium. RNAcentral's name for it is "bacterial SSU rRNA". It matches the Rfam family "Bacterial small subunit ribosomal RNA", at positions 1091 to 1397 of the family's 1533-position model. The record is from RNAcentral. Lineage: Bacteria; Pseudomonadati; Acidobacteriota.